Molecule: ribosomal RNA, 499 nt
Filed under: uncultured bacterium
Lineage: Bacteria
Description: partial 16S ribosomal RNA
Rfam family: Bacterial small subunit ribosomal RNA
Source: RNAcentral
GACGAACGCUGGCGGCGUGCCUAAUACAUGCAAGUCGAGCGAAGUUUUUCUGGUGCUUGCACUAGAAAAACUUAGCGGCGAACGGGUGAGUAACACGUAAAGAACCUGCCUCAUAGGCUGGGACAACUAUUGGAAACGAUAGCUAAUACCGGAUAACAGUAUUUCUCGCAUGAGAGAUAUUUAAAAGUUGGUUAUGCUAACACUAUGAGAUGGCUUUGCGGUGCAUUAGCUAGUUGGUGGGGUAAAGGCCCACCAAGGCGACGAUGCAUAGCCGACCUGAGAGGGUGAUCGGCCACACUGGGACUGAGACACGGCCCAGACUCCUACGGGAGGCAGCAGUAGGGAAUCUUCCGCAAUGGGCGAAAGCCUGACGGAGCAACGCCGCGUGAGUGAAGAAGGAUUUCGGUUCGUAAAGCUCUGUUGUUAGGGAAGAAUGGAUAUGUAGUAACUAUACAUGUAAGAGACGGUACCUAACCAGAAAGCCACGGCUAACUACGUG